CCCUUAGAUGUCCUGGGCUGCACGCGCGCUACACUGAUGUGUCCAGUAAGCCCCUAACCUCUUCCGAAAGGAACGGGUAACCUUUGCAAAGCACAUCGUGAUGGGGAUAGAUUAUUGCAAUUAUUAGUCUUGAACGAGGAAUUCCUAGUAAGCACAAGUCAUCAGCUUGUGUUGAUUACGUCCCUGCCCUUUGUACACACCGCCCGUCGCUCCUACCGAUUGAAUGUUCCGGUGAGCUCUUCGGACUGCGCGGUCUGCAGUUUCUGCGUUCCGUGCGGAAAGUUGCGCAAACCUUAACAUUUAGAGGAAGGAGAAGUCGUAACA
RNAcentral lists this ribosomal RNA (324 nucleotides) under uncultured eukaryote. Its description in RNAcentral is "partial 18S ribosomal RNA". It matches the Rfam family "Eukaryotic small subunit ribosomal RNA", at positions 1470 to 1796 of the family's 1831-position model. The record is from RNAcentral.